CCGAAUCAUUCAGACACCAUUUCACGGAGAUGGAAGCCCCAGGGAAUGGCAAAGCAGAGUUGGCAAGUUGUGUGGAAUGAACCAGGCAAGUCCUUGGAUCCAACAAAAGCCCCCGAAACAAUGUGGGCUACGACAGGACAGUGGCACAUUGCCUUUAAUCCCAGCACUUGGGAGGCAGAGGCAGGCGGAUCUCUGGGAGUUCGAGGCCAGCCUGGUCUACAAAGUGAGUUCCAGGACAGCCAGGACUGUCCUUCUCUUACACAGAGAAGCCCUAUCUUGAAAAGCAAACAAACAAACAAACAAAAAGAAGCAAAGCAGUCUUAAAGCUUGAGACUGGGCCCGUGAGGGGCUUUGAAUUCACAUCUUAGACAAUAGGAGAGUUGGAGUUAUGAGGUCAGUUUUUCUUACUGAGGUGGAAUACUUAGCAUGAUGUGGGGUCACUGGGAUAGAGAGGGUGGUGGGGCUUCUAGAAAGAAUCCUAAGAGCAGUGCCAAGCACAAAGCAGGGACAAGUUUUCUGGUCUAGUUACUACGGAUAGAAUCAGUCUAAAGGGGCUGGGUGGAAGAAGUCCUAACAUCAAGGCUACUCAAGAAAACCCUCAAGCUAAUUGGAAAAAUGAUGGUAACUCCCACACGAUCACUUACCUGAUCAGACAAUAUUUAGAGGACUUUACUUUUAGAGCUUUAGAGGUUCUAAAAAUAAUCAGAUUAAAAUUAGAAAAUGAAAUAUCACAGUGAUAUCUAUUAGAAAGGCAUACGAUACCAAAUAAAAUCAGCAUGGAGAUCCAGGACCAUCUGUGGUGAUAUCUUGUUUAUAUUUUAACAAAUAAAGCUUGCCUGAAGAUCAGAGGGUGGAGCUAGCCACUAGCUAACCAUAGAGGUCUGGAGUCUGUACAGACAGACAGGAAGUAAGAUGGCUGGGCAGAGAGAGGAAUAUAGGUGGGGAGGAGACAGGAACUUAGUCUCUUUUCAGUCUGAGGAUUUCGUAGAGGUAAGAGCUCUAGUGUGUGGCUGCUUUGCUUCUCUGAUCUUUCAACUUUCACUCCCUCAUAUUUGACUCUGGGUUUUUUAUUAUUAAGACCGAUUAGAACUCAUGCUACAACCAUCUGUGCUGAGUGCAGAUACUUCCUGAACUAUGAUGAGGUUAGUUAUGCCAAAGAACUCACUGUAAGCUCAAAAUACAGUGUGUUAGAAAUGUCUUUCAUCACCUGACCUACAUAACCACUGCAGCUUAGCCUAGCUCAUCCUGAGUGUGCUCAGAACCUCUCAUUAGAGUAUCGUUGGGCGAAAUCACCUAGUGCAAAGUUCAUUUUAUAACAAAAUCAGGAUGGUUAUGUUUCAGUUCCUGAACUCUCAUCAUUUUGAAAGAGUCUAAAUCAGAAAUUGUCUAUAUAAACAUAUGAGGCUUUCUACUUUCAUUUCUGGUGCUGUGAUAAAAUACACUGUCAAAAGCAACUUAGGAGAGGACCAGGUUCAUUCAGUUUACAAUUCUAGGUGACAAUCCAUUAUUGUGGGGAGGUCAAGGCAGGAACUUAAGGCAUUGCAUCCAUAGCCAAGAGCAGAGAGAGAAUAAACGAAUCCUUUCUUGCUUGCUUUCGGUAUCUGUCUCUAUUCUUAUAUAGUGUAUAUAGCAUAUGCCUGGGGAAUGUUGCCACCCAUAAUGGGCUGUGUCUUUCUGCAUCGAUUAACCAUUAAGACAACCUUCCACAGACAUGUCUUUGACAUGGCCAUUGGUCGACCUGAUCUAGAGAAUUCCUCAUUAUGACUCUUAUCCCAGGUGAUGUUAGUUAGUUAGUUAAUUAAAACUAACUAGCACAAGGAGAAGCCAGUGUGUACCUGGACGUCUGGACAGAGAUGUGGGUGGUCAUCGUCAUGAUGGAUGCUUGUGAGGGGCCAGGCUAGAUUGUCAAGAGCAAUGUAUCCAGGUCUUAAGGGCAGAGUGAAAACUCUGGGAAGCACAACGAAUCAUUAAUAGCAUCUAUAUACAUCAACAGUACACUAAAACAAAAUAAUACAGCAUCGGAGCAAGUAGAAUGAAAUGGUCAUUCAUAGGAGAAAGAGUUGGGGACUGAAGUUGAAUAAAUGAGAGGAGCAGAGCUUGUAUGGUUACAUUUUGGGAAGUGAGAUUGUUAGGGUUACAUGCCUCAGCACCUUAUGUUAAAAUACAUGUGUGACCAAAGCCGCCACUCUGAGGUGAGGGAAUCCCCUUUUGUCUGUUUGUUUAUAUAGUCACUUUCUUGAGGUCUGACAGGAUGCCACAUAUUUUUAUUUUGUAUGGAUGGAUGUUUUGCCUGCAAUUAUGUCUAUGCAUCACAUGAAUUCAGUGUCUGCAGAGGCCAGAGGGGAGCACUGCACUCCUGGAAAGAGUUACAGUUGUGAGCUGCCAUGUGGGUGCUGGGAAAUUGAACCCAGGUCCUCUGGAAGAACAGCCAGUGCUCUCAUCCUCUGAGCCAUCUCUCAGGUCCCAUGCCCACAUAUUUUUAAGAAGUGAAUUUUAGUAAUAAUCUCAUAUAGUGCUGAUAGGGUUUUCAGAGCUCACUCCUGGCGUUGGCUAGGUAGGACUACCACCUACGGAAAUGAGUUAGUGGGAGUAUUUCUAGAACAUGAGGAAGACUGAGGCGCAGGUGGCUGAAGUGACUGGGAAGUUUCAGCCCUGUGACUCAGACCUGUAUCUCCUGGUCCAGUCCAAGGUCCCAGCAAGCAUCACAAGUGGGAAGUGAGUGCUUCUAUGAGGACAAUGGAGCAAAAUGUUACUGGGAUUGGGCCACAUGCACUUUUUUAAAAUUGCUUUUGUUUUCUUUAGCUAUUGUUUUUGUUGUUGAAGAAAUUUUGCUGUCUGCACUAAAUCCCAAGUCAGUGGUUAGCUAACAACAUGCUGUAAUUGUUUCAAUGCAACCAUUAGGAGUUAUUUUUAAUUUAUAAGCAUCCUUAUAUAAUUUUAUUUCAAAAAAUAACUUCUGCCCCAGGGUAACUCUACUUUAUUCUUUUGCCUGUCAAUAAUCAUGUACUUCAAGUUUUCAGAAGAUUUUUCUAGAUUUUUUCCCCUCUAAGAAACUGAAAGUUGAAUUUCUUUCUGGAGCAAGGAAAAGAGAAUGCAUCCAUAACUGAGCUAGGAUCCUGGUGAUGGAAAUUGGGGAAGAUGGGGCCAGUUUAGCCAACUCAGAGCAUGUGUCUCUUGUGGUUGGGGGAGGGGGUCAAAAAUAGUUCACUCUGCCUCCACAACAUGGUGUUCCAUGUUUAGACACAGCUGGACUCUCCAGGCCGGAAGCUAAGUCCCUGGAGGGACAGUGCUCUUAAUACUGCAGACAUAACGUGAAAUCUGAACAGUUGGGCAGGCUCUAAGUUUGCUUGAGAAUUUUCUUCCUAAGUGGAGCUCAGCUUCUAGGACAGUCCCAUCAAAGACGAAUUCCUGCUUGUUCUCUAACUCAUUCCCAAGGGACUUCUCUUGCAGGCUCGUUGGUGUUCUUGGUAGUGGGACAACAGAUUUAUUCAAGGUUGCCUGGCUUUGAAGUAACAGUACCAGAAUAAACCACCUGUUUUUAGUUGCUGACUAAACAUAUGGAGCUUAACCUGUUCCUGAUAAUUUGAUGUUUGUUGGCUGCAGAAAGCAUCUCUGAUGUGUGGGUUAUGAUCAUAACAGAAGAUAAAGACUAGUCCAAACACCUCUCUCCAGCUCACAGAUAUCUCCAAACCUCAUUCCUUUGGGGUUCUCCUGCAUACCACUAGGCAGGCAUGAUGGGUUAGUCUCAGUGACACCUUUUAAAAAUUUAAAUAACUUUCUUUUUAUUUAGUUUGCAUGCCAACUGAAGUUUCCCCUCCCUCUUCUCCUCCCAGUUCCCGCCCCUCUUCCCAUCUACUCCCUCCCCCUCCACUUGUCCUCCAUCUCCAUUCAGAAAGGGGAAGGCCUCCCAUGGGCUUGAACAAAGCAGGCUCAGUGACACAGUGAUUUGAUGAUUGGUGACCAUGAUGAUUAAUACUGGCUAUCAAGUUGACUAGAUCCGGACUGAACUAAGAACAUCCGGAUGUUGAAAGACACACCCUCAAUGGUCAUAUACUUAUUGCGCCUGCUGCCACCAUCCUUCACUAGCAUCAGAGCCUGGCCAUGUUGACUUUCCAACAUGAACUGAAGACCCGUGGCUCUCCAGGAGUCAGACAGGCCCUUGGUGCCAGGUUUGGACUGCUGUGGCACCCAGCUUAGUGGAAUGAGAGCAUCUAUUGAUUCUUGUCCCCUCCAAUGAGAAGAUAGCCAUUGUUGCCUCAUGUCUUGCAUGAAAAUGUCCUUAUGCAGCACAGUGCCAUGUGUAAUGAAUAAAUACAAUGAAAAAAUUUUAAAAAAUGACGAAGAAUUUCAAGGUGGUAGCCACAGAACAUCAACCCCUAAAUAUGGGGUCCUACCUGACUGCAUUUUUACAUAUCUAUGAAGCCCUGCCUUAUCAUGGCACAGAGACAUGUGGCCUUCAGCUCUCCUUUCCAACUUCAUUUCCUUAUCGGCAGGUGAGCAUAAAAAUCCAGGCUUCCAAGAUGGCAGCAUAGAUACAAGGAAGUCACAUGGCUAGAGAGAGUUGAUAACCUUGUUUCAAGUCCUGACAUCAUGCUUUGUAUUCUUUCCACAUUUUGUUUGCAGCUGGUGGGUUCUGGCUGCAUCAGAGCCAGUCUGAGUCCCUUUGGUGAGCAGAGCUGACUGAGGGCUCAGAGGUCUGGCAGGAUCUCCAGGUCACAGACACUCCCAUUCCCAUUUCUCCAUUUCCUUUGACGAAGAAUGACCAACAGCUCAAAGGACAUUUCAGUUGGUGGGUCAGUCUCGAAGGACCACUGUUUAGAGUACAUUGGGUACCUCAAAAGUGAUGGUGAUCUCCUCCUCACCUUUCUUUGCCUUCAGGAAAGUGGUUCUGCACUGCAGGGUGAGGCUCCAAGAAGUCACAGCCAUGGCAGAUGCUCCAUGACAUUUGAACAGUACCUCAGAUUGUCUAUGAGGAAAUACCCAGGUCUUCACAGUUUCUCAGGUCGCAAACCAUCACCACACACAGCUCAAGCCAUGCAGCUCAAGCCACACAGCUGUGAUGCCACCCUUCCUGAGACACUAUGAGUAUCCCCUUUGUUGGGUGAAGAAAAAAUGACCCAGAGAAGUGAGAGGGCCUUCUUGGUGAAACACAGUUAGACCUUCGCACAUGUGCAGUGGUGUGAUUGUGUGUGUGUGAUGCCCAUAGACACAAACAAACACAUCAAUGAAUAUAUGAAUAAAUAAGUCCAUUAGUUAAUGAGUGAAUUAAAAGCUGGAUAUGACAAGGUAAACAUACAAUCCCAAAGCUUAGGAAGCAGAAGUAGGAGCCAUCAUGUUUGAUGGCUCUAUAGUCAAGCUGAAUCUGCAAUUCGUGUCUCAAAAAAAAAAAACAAAAAACAAAAACCGAAAAACCAACAACAACAACAACAGGGAAGAUGGGAUGCACUGAACAUGAUCAAAGUACACUAUGUGCAUGCAUGACAUGGUCAAAGAAUAAAUAAAAAACAUUAAAAAAACAAAACCAAGUUGGAUGGCACACACGGUUGACUUUUUUGCCUCCACAGGCACUCACACACACAGCCACAGACACGCAGACAUGAAUCUUAAGUGUGUUCUCAGUACAGUGGCUUGACCAUCUCCAUUAUUCAUAAAAGCUGUCAAUACCCAGAAACCCUCACCUUCCUGUUGUGAUGCCUGAACAGAAUCAGAAAACUGGGGCCAGAUGCCCUGCUCAUCACUGCCAGUGCCCGUCCACAUCUAGCUGUCAGUCCCUUCUGUGUUCUAUCUGGGUCCCCAGUCUGUCCCAAUGACAGUACCACACCUCUUCAGGUGACCAUAAGCAUAGGAAUGUGGAACAACAGGGUCUUAGGCCCAGCGAAUUCAGUAGCCAACAGCAGAGACUAUCCCUACAGCUGUGAGAUGUGCUUCAGGCAUGGAGCUUCCAACCCAGUCUUUCCGGGCAGAAGGCUGUUCCCAUGUUUCCUGUGACAGAUGCGACCCUAUCUUUGAUCCCUCUUUCCAAAAAAAGUUUCAUGCUCCUUUCUUCAAGCCCUUUGUUCCCAGCAUAGCUCCGUGAGGAAUCUGAAGAAAGGCUGUGGGAAGCUAUGUGGAUAUAAUCCCUGGUUGGGGAAGCAGCUGCCCCUCCAGCUGGGUCCAGGUGGUGAGGAUACAAGAUGUGGCGGGUUGGGCUAGGCUCCACAAAGCCAGGCUCUGUGGGCCGCCAUCAUUAUCAUUGCAGACAGCCUUCGGAACAACGGAAACCUCCACGCCCUCAACUCCCCAGAAGAGGGAGAGCAGGAUGGGUGCACCACCUCCCUUCUCAGGAUGUUUUUAAUAAUGCAGACCAGCCCACACAGGGAAGCAAGACCUUGGGAAGCACACAGCCCUCCCCUGCAGGGCUAUGGUGCAGGGCUAUUCUUCCAGCCGGGUUCCCUAGUUUGUAUGAAUUACAGAGAUCCUCAUUGCUGCGUGUAUAACAGACUUCUGUGUGAUGGUCUGGGUGUGAUGUGUAGUUGAUACUGGGAGGAGUGUGUCUUUCUUGGCUGUAUCUCUGGUGUUGUUUUUGUUCUUGGAUGGACUCUUUGUUCUAUGACAGAGAGUACCUACAGACGCUCCAAGAUAACAGAUCUGGCAGGAGACACUUCCUGGUGCAAUCUAGAUUGCUUCUCAUAGCACUGUAGUCCACGAUCCGAUGGUACAUAUGAUGGCAACAAGGAGUCUCAACUCAGGUGACCCUGUUUUCUGGCACUAUUGUCUCCCUAUCACCCAAGCAAGGGGUUCUUGCUCCCUUCUGGUAUCCACUGCAUAUCUGUGCUCACGUGAGCACUGGGUGAGGGUGAGCUAGCAUGCAUGUCAUGUGUGAUAGGUCACCUAUGAGAUGCCGCACACACAUGAGGUGAUAAACCGGUUAGCAGAUAUAAAAUAGGAGAGCCAGGACUACACAGAGAAACUCUGUCCUGAAAAUCCAAACCAAACCAAACCAAAAAAGGCAGAGGUAGAUGGAGGACACCAGGGAAUCAAAGUCUUCUAAAUACAACAGGACUGGAGCACAUAUGAACUCAGAGAGUGUGGCAGCAUGCACCGGGCCUACAUGGGUCUGGACCAGAAGUGGUCCUAGAGCUGAAAGGAGAAGUGGACUCAAGUCCCCAUCCCUAACUCAGAAGCUAUCUCCAAUUGAUAGCCAUUUGCAAGUAAAUAAUUAGUUUUUUUCUCUAAGAAAAUCUCACUGGGAAAAUAAGCCACUCUUAAGGGUAGGCCCGAUGCCCAAAAGUAGAUAACCACCAGAAAACGAACUCCACAGCAUCAUUGGAGGUUCUUUGUCUCAUAUUAAGUCAGGGCAAUUCUUUUUCUACUGUACAGAUCCUUUGUAUAUAUAUCAUGGCUUCCAGUUUUGGAUUUUUAUAGGAUUCUUGAGUGUGAAUAUGUGUGUCCCUAUAUCUAUAUGUGUUUCUUUUAUUUCUUGGGCUUUUUCUUGUUUGGUUGUUUCAUCCUAUUCCAAUUUGUUUGUUUUUGAUGUAUCUUAGUUUAUUAUUAUUCCUUAGGUGCCUGUUUGCUUUCUAAUGAGAGACAGAAGGGGCAUGGAUCUAGAUGGGAGGUGAGGUGGGGAGGAACUGGAAGAGCAAGGGGAUGGGAAACUGUGGUGGUUUGAGAGAAAAUAGCCCCCAAAGGGAAUGGAACUAUUAGGAGGUGUAGUCUUGUGGGAGGCGGGCUUUGAGGUCUCAUAUAUGCUCAAGCUACACCCAUUGAGUCAGACCACUUCCUGUUGCCUGCAGAUCAAGAUGUAUUAACUCUCAUCUCCUUCUCCAGCACAUGUUUGCCUGCGUGUCCCGCCAUGAUGAUAAUGGGAUGAACCUCUGAAAUGGUCAGCCACACAAUUAAAUGUUUUCCUUUAUAAAAGUUGCUGUGGUCAUGGUGUUUCUUCACAGCAAUAGAUAGCCUAACUAGAUGAAACCAUAAUCAGAAUCUAUUGUAUGAAAAAAAUCUAUUGUCAAUAAUAAUAAUUUAAAAAGACACACUCAGGGCAUUAGUGAGACACACCUUUAUGUGUGUGUGUUUGUGUGUGUGUUUGUGUGUGUGUGUGUGUGUGUGUAUGCUUGCAAAGAUUAGCUGAAUGGAAAAGAUAUUCCUGAACCUGAGUGGCACUAUUCCAUGGGCUGAGGUGUCAGACUGACUAGAGAAGAGAAAAAAGAAAGUUAGCCAAGCAUCAAUGUUCUUCCUCUGAGGUGUAAGUGGUUAGCCUCUGACCUUUGUGCCUUCCUGCCGUGGGGAUGACAUUCUCAUCGUGAGACUCUCCUUACUUAAGUUUCCUAUCAGGUGUUCUGCCCCAGUGAUGAGAAAAGGAAAUAAUACAGAAGGACAGCAGCUUGAGAUCCUAUGGCCUUGGUGCAAGCAGACCGGAGUUCAAAUCCUACUACCAUCAUUUCUUAUUCAUAGCUAUGUCUACUUCUCUUUUUUUCUGUACUAUCAGAUGUGGAUGGACACUCAUGAGGACUGAUCAGAUGUGGAUGGACACUCAUGAGGACUGAUCAGAUGUGGAUGGACACUCAUGAGGACUGAUCAGAUGUGGAUGGACACUCAUGAGGACUGAUCAGAUGUGGAUGGACACUCAUGAGGACUGAUCAGAUGUGGAUGGACACUCAUGAGGAUGGAGUGAGAUUGGGAAGGAACUGGAGUUUUGUGGAUCAUGUCUCAGCUCCUCAGAAUGCAAGGCUGGCAAGGUGGCUCAGUGGGUAAAGGAUGAUCUCUGCCAAGACUGAAGACAGGAGUUCAAUACCUGGGUCUCACUUGAUGGAAACUGAAAUCCACCUCCAGCAAGUUGUCUUCUGCACCAACACACACAGAGAAACACUUACACAUGGCACCUGCUGGAAGUGGCUCCUGACUUGAGGGUGAAGAAAGGAGCUGCUGGCCCCAUGCAGCCCCAGGACAAGGCCAUGGUGAUGUAGAACUCUGAAGAUCCUGUGGAGCUCAAGCUGGAAGAAGCAGUCAGUCCUUCAAGCCACUGAGCCUCAGCUCCCUCGUCUGAUGUUUCUCAGCUGCACUUGGAGACACUUUCCUGUUACAACCUCCUUUCCCAAUGUGCAACACAGCUGGCCUCAAAGUGAACAGAAAGAGCCAAAUACUUUAGAGGGGAUAGCGUUGUCAAGUAUGAGCCCAAGUGCCUUGGAGGAGGCUCCUU
Molecule: long non-coding RNA, 9178 nt
Filed under: Cricetulus griseus (Chinese hamster)
Lineage: Eukaryota; Metazoa; Chordata; Mammalia; Rodentia; Cricetidae
Description: lncRNA (ENSCGRG00015031052.1)
Source: RNAcentral